This 257-nucleotide unclassified non-coding RNA is filed under the name uncultured fungus. RNAcentral's name for it is "partial contains 18S rRNA, ITS1, 5.8S rRNA". The stretch from base 206 to 257 matches the Rfam family "5.8S ribosomal RNA", at positions 1 to 52 of the family's 154-position model. Lineage: Eukaryota; Fungi. The record is from RNAcentral.
UAACAAGGUUUCCGUAGGUGAACCUGCGGAGGGAUCAUUACACAAAUAUGAAGGCGGGCUGGAACCUCUCGGGGUUACAGCCUUGCUGAAUUAUUCACCCUUGUCUUUUGCGUACUUCUUGUUUCCUUGGUGGGUUCGCCCACCACUAGGACAAACAUAAACCUUUUGUAAUUGCAAUCAGCGUCAGUAACAAAUUAAUAAUUACAACUUUCAACAACGGAUCUCUUGGUUCUGGCAUCGAUGAAGAACGCAGCGAA